Molecule: ribosomal RNA, 434 nt
Filed under: uncultured Lachnospiraceae bacterium
Lineage: Bacteria; Bacillati; Bacillota; Clostridia; Lachnospirales; Lachnospiraceae
Description: partial 16S ribosomal RNA
Rfam family: Bacterial small subunit ribosomal RNA
Source: RNAcentral
ACGGAAGGCAGCAGUGGGGAAUAUUGCACAAUGGGCGAAAGCCUGAUGCAGCGACGCCGCGUGAGUGAAGAAGUAUCUCGGUAUGUAAAGCUCUAUCAGCAGGGAAGAAAAUGACGGUACCUGACUAAGAAGCCCCGGCUAACUACGUGCCAGCAGCCGCGGUAAUACGUAGGGGGCAAGCGUUAUCCGGAUUUACUGGGUGUAAAGGGAGCGUAGACGGUUUGGCAAGUCUGAAGUGAAAUGCGGGGGCUCAACUCCUGAACUGCUUUGGAAACUGUCGAACUAGAGUGCAGGAGAGGUAAGUGGAAUUCCUAGUGUAGCGGUGAAAGGCGUAGAUAUUAGGAGGAACACCAGUGGCGAAGGCGGCUUACUGGACUGUAACUGACGUUGAGGCUCGAAAGCGUGGGGAGCAAACAGGAUUAGAUACCCUGGUA